This 460-nucleotide ribosomal RNA is filed under the name uncultured bacterium. RNAcentral describes it as "SSU rRNA". It matches the Rfam family "Bacterial small subunit ribosomal RNA", at positions 26 to 518 of the family's 1533-position model. The record is from RNAcentral.
AGAAUCAACGCUGGCGGCGUGCCUAACACAUGCAAGUCGAACGAGAAAGUGGAGCAAUCCAUGAGUAAAGUGGCGCACGGGUGAGUAACACGUGACUAACCUACCUUUUAGUGGGGGAUAACCUAGGGAAACCUGGGCUAAUACCGCAUAACACUUACGAGUCAAAGCAGCAAUGCGCUGAAAGAGGGGGUCGCGGCCGAUUAGCUAGUUGGCGGGGUAAUGGCCCACCAAGGCAGUGAUCGGUAUCCGGCCUGAGAGGGCGCACGGACACACUGGAACUGAAACACGGUCCAGACUCCUACGGGAGGCAGCAGUGGGGAAUUUUGCGCAAUGGGGGAAACCCUGACGCAGCAACGCCGCGUGGAGGAUGAAGUCCCGUUGGGACCGUAAACUCCUUUCGAUCGGGACGAUAAUGACGGUACCGGAAGAAGAGCCCGGCUAACUUCGCGCCAGCAGCCGC